AACGAACGCUGGCGGCAUGCCUAACACAUGCAAGUCGAACGAGACCUUCGGGUCUAGUGGCGCACGGGUGCGUAACGCGUGGGAACCUGCCCUUAGGUUCGGAAUAACUCCCCGAAGGGGGUGCUAAUACCGGAUAAUGUCUUCGGACCAAAGAUUUAUCGCCUUUGGAUGGGCCCGCGUUGGUUUAGCUAGUUGGUAGGGUAAAAGCCUACCAAGGCGACGAUCCAUAGCUGGUCUGAGAGGAUGAUCAGCAACACUGGAACUGCGACACGGCCCAGACUCCUACGCGACGCAGCAGAGUGUAAUAUUGGACAAGGGGCGAAAGCCUGAUCCAGCAAUGCCGCGUGAGUGAUGAAGGCCGUAGUGUUGUAAAGCUCUUUUACCCGGGAUGAUAAUGACAGUACCGGGAGAAUAAGCACCGGCUAACUCCGUG
Molecule: ribosomal RNA, 433 nt
Filed under: uncultured bacterium
Lineage: Bacteria
Description: partial 16S ribosomal RNA
Rfam family: Bacterial small subunit ribosomal RNA
Source: RNAcentral